Molecule: long non-coding RNA, 608 nt
Filed under: Helianthus annuus (common sunflower)
Lineage: Eukaryota; Viridiplantae; Streptophyta; Magnoliopsida; Asterales; Asteraceae
Description: hypothetical non coding rna
Source: RNAcentral
UUUAACCGGGUGUGAUUCUCCCACUCUCCCUCUAAAUCUGGAUCGAUUCCCAAAUCUUUAACCACCUAUUGAGGAUGCCCAUUCAUCCUCCUUUUUGCAGCCUCUUCAUUCUCAAUCUGGAUGUCAGGUUACAAAGGAUCUUGAAAUCACCUUCAUCAGAUACUCAGAAAUUUUGAAUCGCUUGGAGUCGACUCUAGGUCGCUUCAUUAUGGAUAGCAUAGAAAGGGGAAGGCGAAGUCGGGUGUAGGCUCCUGGAAGUGAUGUCUUCUAAUGCACUCAAUCGACCUCGGUUCUAUCCAUAAGGCACUGAAUCUUACCACACACCCACUUUCAGAACCUUUUUUCUAUUAAAAGGAUCAGUUUUGAAUGAUGCUUGUGUGAAUCAAUUAAAAAUGAUGACAGAAAAGAUUGUUUGGUGAACCAAGAGAGGAGCUUUAUUCAGGUUACCAUGAAUCUGUACCAGAGGGAGAGGGAUUGAGGCUACAGAGAUACAAAGUGAAACAAUGGAGAUGGAGGUUCAAUUUCCGAAAAGCAGGUAUUCAUCCAUUGAUUUAUAACACACUUUUAAUUUAUUUAUUUUUUUUGAACGUUGAGAAUCUUUAACAGUU